AGAAUCAACGCUGGCGGCGUGCCUAACACAUGCAAGUCGAACGAGAAAGUGGAGCAAUCCAUGAGUACAGUGGCGUACGGGUGAGUAACACGUGACUAACCUACCCUCGAGUGGGGAAUAACCUCGGGAAACCGGGGCUAAUACCGCAUAACAUCUUCGGAUCAAAUGCGUAAGCAGCUUGAGGAGGGGUCGCGGCCGAUUAGCUAGUUGGCGGGGUAAUGGCCCACCAAGGCAAUGAUCGGUA
Molecule: ribosomal RNA, 244 nt
Filed under: uncultured bacterium
Lineage: Bacteria
Description: partial small subunit ribosomal RNA
Rfam family: Bacterial small subunit ribosomal RNA
Source: RNAcentral